Molecule: ribosomal RNA, 253 nt
Filed under: uncultured bacterium
Lineage: Bacteria
Description: partial 16S ribosomal RNA
Rfam family: Bacterial small subunit ribosomal RNA
Source: RNAcentral
UACGGAGGGUGCAAGCGUUAUCCGGAUUCACUGGGUUUAAAGGGUGCGUAGGUGGGAAUGUAAGUCAGUGGUGAAAUCUCCGUGCUUAACACGGAAACUGCCAUUGAUACUAUGUUUCUUGAAUUUUCCGGAGGUCAGCGGAAUAUGUCAUGUAGCGGUGAAAUGCUUAGAUAUGACAUAGAACACCAAUUGCGAAGGCAGCUGACUACAGGGACAUUGACACUGAGGCACGAAAGCGUGGGGAUCAAACAGG